UACAUCAAGAUAUCAUCGAGGAAUAAAAGCACAAAUUUGUGAAGAUAUGGUCAGAAAACAUCGUUCAUAGUAGCUUGGAAAGUGGUCAGAGCAUUAGCAAUCCAAAUGGCAUAGCUACAAACUCGUAGUGGCCUGAAUGCUUUUAGAAAGCAAUCUUAUGAACAUCUAAAGGUGUAACUUGUAUACAAUGGUAAUUCAAUGCUAAAUCCAGCUUUGAGAAAUAGUGAGAGCCAUACAAUUCAUUUAACAUUUCUUGGAUCAUCG
Molecule: unclassified non-coding RNA, 264 nt
Filed under: Hevea brasiliensis (rubber tree)
Lineage: Eukaryota; Viridiplantae; Streptophyta; Magnoliopsida; Malpighiales; Euphorbiaceae
Source: RNAcentral